GUGGGGAAUCUUGCGCAAUGGGCGAAAGCCUGACGCAGCCAUGCCACGUGAAUGAUGAAGGUCUUAGGAUUGUAAAAUUCUUUCACCGGGGACGAUAAUGACGGUACCCGGAGAAGAAGCUCCGGCUAACUUCGUGCCAGCAGCCGCGGUAAUACGAAGGGGGCUAGCGUUGCUCGGAAUUACUGGGCGUAAAGGGCGCGUAGGCGGACAGCUUAGUCAGAGGUGAAAGCCCAGGGCUCAACCUUGGAAUUGCCUUUGAUACUGGCUGUCUUGAGUUUGGGAGAGGUGAGUGGAACUCCGAGUGUAGAGGUGAAAUUCGUAGAUAUUCGGAAGAACACCAGUGGCGAAGGCGACUCACUGGCCCAAUACUGACGCUGAGGCGCGAAAGCGUGGGGAGCAAACAGGAUUAGAUACCCGUGUAGUCC
This 425-nucleotide ribosomal RNA is filed under the name uncultured bacterium. RNAcentral's name for it is "partial 16S ribosomal RNA". It matches the Rfam family "Bacterial small subunit ribosomal RNA", at positions 354 to 796 of the family's 1533-position model. The record is from RNAcentral.